AGAUUGAACGCUGGCGGCAUGCCUUACACAUGCAAGUCGAACGGCAGCACGGGAGCAAUCCUGGUGGCGAGUGGCGAACGGGUGAGUAAUACAUCGGAACGUGCCCAAUCGUGGGGGAUAACGCAGCGAAAGCUGUGCUAAUACCGCAUAAGAUCUACGGAUGAAAGCAGGGGAUCGCAAGACCUUGCGCGAAUGGAGCGGCCGAUGGCAGAUUAGGUAGUUGGUGAGGUAAAGGCUCACCAAGCCUUCGAUCUGUAGCUGGUCUGAGAGGACGACCAGCCACACUGGGACUGAGACACGGCCCAGACUCCUACGGAGGCAGCAGUGGGAUUUGGACAAUGGGCGAAAGCCUGAUCCAGCCAUGCCGCGUGCAGGAUGAAGGCCUUCGGUUGUAAACUGACUUUUGGUAACGGUAACGAAAGUACUUACUUUACUAAUAAAGUAAGGAUAGACUGACGGUAACCGUAAGAAGUAAGACACCGACUAAC
Molecule: ribosomal RNA, 488 nt
Filed under: uncultured soil bacterium
Lineage: Bacteria
Description: bacterial SSU rRNA
Rfam family: Bacterial small subunit ribosomal RNA
Source: RNAcentral